Molecule: long non-coding RNA, 5017 nt
Organism: Taeniopygia guttata (zebra finch)
Lineage: Eukaryota; Metazoa; Chordata; Aves; Passeriformes; Estrildidae
Source: Ensembl
GGAGCUCAAAAAAACCCCAAGAGUUGCAUAAGAUAGUGCCAGGUACUUACAGCUGACAAAAUUUUCCACCAUCACAUCCUGUAUUUAGUAGUGCACACUGCCCCACGAGUGUUGUAUAUAAUUCCUCAGAUCAUGGACCAAGAUAUGGUGAACAUGUUAUAGUUCAAAUAUUUGUCUAUAUAUUUUUCAAACCUACAGAAUUAAUUACCUAUUACCAACAACACUAACAGGGUUUAUUUGCUCCAUUUGCUUUUAAAAGUUUUAGUGGCAUGCACUGUGUGUGUAUAGUUCUUCCCACUGUGUGUAUAUAAUUCCUUGGCUUGUUAGCUGGAAAUGGACAGCCUCUCUUUUCCUCCACUGGCAGGAAAAACAUUUUCAAACUAGCUCAGAGAAAGCUGCCUGCUCACCCUUCUGCUGCCACCUCACCCAACCCCUUCCUGCUAAUUCUCUUCAACUCAGCUGAUUACUGUAGAAAUUAGUGAUCUCAAAGAGGAAGCAAGGUGCCCAUGAGCCAGCAGAACUAGGAAGUUGGAGUCCAUGCUAUAAAGAGUUUUCAGUUCAUCUGCCGAAAUCACCAAAGAUGUUUACAGAAUGUAUAAAUUAUUUUCUUUUAAAUGACCAUUUAUAGACACCUAGGAGGUUAAAAUGAGAAAAAUUUUCAAGGGUGUAUGAGUAGGGAUAUGCCAACAUAUAGCAUAAAAAGAUAAGCUGACUUUUAGAAGGGAAAAACAACAACAGUUGAUGAAAACCUAAGGUUAAAAAUAGAUUAAAGUAUAUUUCCAUAUUUUAUAUGUGAAAUAAGGUGAUACCAGUUCAGUGGAAUUUAUUUAUGUGUAUAUUUCUUUAAAUAUCCUGCAUGAGUUAAUCUUACUUACCUUUUGUGCAAGAGAUUUCACAAGUACCUAUCUCUUCCAGAAAGUUUAGCAUAUUAUCUUAUCUUUUCAUACCUGAAUAAUUAAACUGGAAUAAAAAAUGCAAGUUCUGACAGUGAAGAUAUGGGGGGAACAAUAGAAUUAAAAAAUCUGUCUCAAAGUAAUUUAAAGUUUUCACAUCUGUUCUACUUUGUUUCUGUCCAAAAUUUUUACCUGUAUCUAUCUGAGAACUUUGACUAGUUCUGCACACAUCUCAGUGCCACCUCAGAAACUCCUGAAUCUGUAAACAGUUCUGAGUUUGUGCAGCUUAAUUCAUAUAAAAAGGCUGAUUUGAAAUGGGAUUUAUAUAAGACUAGAGUUCGGCAUAAUCAAAAAUCAAAAUCCCUAUAAAGUAUCUGUCAGACAACAUGAGAUAAGAUAUUUUGCCUUAUUAUACUAACACCUCUUAAUUUCUGACAAUUGAGUGAAGAACUGGUCAGCAGCAGCAUGUAUGUUGAGUGGUAGGUAAACCAAAACCCUGACACUGAAAACCCACAAUUCAAAGAGAAAUCCAGGUCUCUGCAUUCUGAACUAUGGGAUAUCAAGAGACUGGAGAAAGUAACCUUGAAUCUAGAAUCUGGAAAAUCAGGUUUGGGAGAAAGCUGCUUUGGAACACAAAUUUUCCUUUCUGGUUGUGGGUCAUGGAAAAGUGCCCAAUGAAACAGUCUAGGGACUAUUUUCAUAGUAUCAUCACCACCUAAUGUUCUGAGUGAUAAGAAGGAAAAAAACCCACCCUAUUUUCUGACCUUUCAGGUUCUAGCCCAGGACAAAAAAAAACAAGUACAGAUAUCAUAAUUUAUAUUAGAAAGUCCAGUGGACCAAAUUCUGAAUGACUAAUAGUUUUUAUAUCUACAUACUGAGCUUAUAACUACAUACUUUCUUGAGAGGAACCUAAAUAAAUAAUAAAACAUAGAAAUCGCCCAUUAACAUUGUCUUAGAAACCAAGUUUUCAGUUUUCUCUCAUUCAGAUUGGUCUUUAACUGAAAAUUAUUAAUAGGAAAAAGGAAAAGCAUAAUAGAAUUAUUAUUUUUUUCCUUUAAGAAGCUGGAUGCUCUGAGCUGUAUAAAUUACCAUCACAGUCUCUUUGUGUAAAAUAGGAUUAGCUGAAAAAGACAAAGUGCAGCCAAUGUUCCAAAUCUGUAGAUUAUUUGUUACUAAUUGUCAAUUUGGGAAGUUCAAUUUUUGACUUGGGCGAGUUCUGCUCUACCACACCCAGUACUUCCAAAUCCUGCUGAAUUAUUUUAAUGAACAUCUCGAUUAAUUCCUGGGAGAGUGAGGUGACUGUGAGAAAUUAAAAGUUUCUGUGUCAACAGGCAAUAAUCUUGCUGUGAUCUAAAAUAAUGAGAGUUGGUUACUGACUUCCAUGGCAGUGGGAUAACCCAAUGUCCAUAUAUUCUGUAGGUAGGCUCCAGCUCUGCAAACAGACUCUCCUUUCCUGCACCCCAGUACUGUCAUGGGUAAUUUCUUGUUAGAGAACCAACAUUUAUUGGGACACUAGCUGUCUUGUCAUUCAGAUGGAUUGCUAAAAGUUUUUGCUGGUUUUAAUUUUAAUUGUUCUGUUGAAGUGUUUCAGGUUGAGAUGUAGGUUGGUCCCUCAGGGCAUGAUCUUAUGUAUCCAUAAGAAAUCAAGUGAAUGAAACAGGUUUUGAAUCAAAGGUUUCUACAGAUUUUCCUGGAAGAGAUGAUCUCAUUUAAUGGGGAGAAGAGAGUGCACUGAGCCUAAAAGAAAAGGUUGCUACCUCAGGGAUGUGAUCAAGUAAGCUGUGGUUACCUUCAACAUGGAAAAGGUAAAAUGCAAGGUACAAAAGUUGGGUGCUACAGUGCUUGUUAUUUUCUCUGGAAUGGAUGGUCAACUCUGACUUUGUAAUUAGUUACCUAAAUGACCUACAUGUCUAAUAGGGUAUCUAGCAGAAAUGGUCUGGCUUUGUGGAGCUUUUUUCCCCUGAUAAUUUCCCAAACUCCUGGAUUUAAAUUCAGGAUGAAACCACCAGCCCCGUAAAACAAACAAAACCUCCAAAGCAAAUAGGAAUUUUCUAUCUUUCUUCUUUCCUAAACAUAAAUCAGGAUGCAAUAUGAUCUCCCUUUCAAAAUACAAGUGCUGGCUGAUGAUUUGUCUCUUUGAACAAGCUGCUUCGUACUCCUGGUGCACUGCAGUCUAAGUUUUCAGAUUUGCCAGUUAAUGAAUGGCACAAUAGCAAAUAAAAUAACAAAUGCCCUCUUAGUUGGUUCCAUUUAUUGGAUUCUUUUACUAUUUCUCUAUCUGAAGAAAACCAUCCCACUCCAAGAUUCCUAAUAAGGAAACCUGUGAGCAUUUUACAGCUUGUUGGCCAUGAUUCCCUAUUUGCCUCUGUCCAAGAAACAGUGAGCUUUGAAUUGGCAGUGUAGUGUUUUUACUACCACUUCUUCUGCAGCAAUUUCUUCUCUCAACUCUUCUAAGUUAGGUUGAGAGGUCUAUUUCACACUAAAAGUGGAAAAAGUUGUUUCUUUGUUAACUCUGGUGACGGGAUUCAGUGUUUGUUGCUCUUACCCAGAGCCUUCCAUCUGCUUCUGUUGAGGCCAAUAUCAACAUUCUCUGGUGGUAUCAGUUACAUCACAUGCAGCGCUGCCGUGACUGAACACCCAGAGAUAUAAAAAGGGCUCAUUCUUCUCUGGUGUGGUUUAAAUCCUACUGACUUCGGGAACUUCUCUGCACUUCUCAGGAUUGCGCCUGCAAUUUAGCAAGAAAAAAAAAAAUCUUUAAAAGAUCAUGUGAAACCCUGUUUACUGAGAGGCAAUAGUUUAUUUUAUAGCAAAGCAACAUUCAUUGAUCUAGUUGGAAUUAACAGUUUUCAUUUUGUCAUCACUUUUUAAAGAAAAACCACUUUGACUUUCAGAAAAAAAAAAAUACAAAAAUAAUAUUUUGCUACCUUCCAAACAUUAGCUUUGGUUUACUUUUGGAAGAUAAUGUGGUUGGUAUGUUUUUUCAGGAUAGCCUCUAUCUAUUUCUGUGUGUUGGUUUUAAAUGUAUCUGAAUUAAAAGGGGUUUUAAUCUCUGUCUCUUCUGUGAAAUUAGAUUGUACAAAACUAAAUAUGACUGCUCUUCAUAGUUUGCUGUUCUAGCAUAGCCAUAAAAUGUAUCAAUGUAUGUGUAUAUAUGAAUAAAUAUUUGAUGACAGACACUUUAGAUUAUAUAUUUAAGCAGCCAUGUCAAAACUUCAGAGGUAGAUGGCUUCAAAAGCAAUGGUAUAAUCAUAAUACUUGCAAAUUAUUUUACAAAAUCAAACCAUGGCCUCAGCGCAGAUCUCAUAUCCUUACCAGUAGUCUGAAACCCACCUUUUCUUUAAAGACCCCUGCUAAGGUUUGUUUUGCCAUUGCUUCUUUAACCAAGACGUAUCUGAAUAAUGACAACUGCCCGUGGCUCAGUCUGCAGCACUCAUCUCCCGGCAGAGCCGCCCUGGUGCUGCAGGACCAGCGGCUCUGGGCUCUGCCUCCAUCGGUCUGAGCCGUGCGGCUCUGGAGCCGCUGCUCCUGGGGGAUGGACACUGCACAGCCAGUGUCAGUGCUUCCCCCUGGGACUGCCUCACUCCCCAAAAUUCCUUUUCUUCACCUCAUACAUCUCCCACACAAUUCCCACUGCAUUUUCUUUUUGCCUGUUUAUAAUGGUACUGUAGGAAUAUCCGUGGAAUAAAAAGCUUACCCUACUGAUUUGCAGUCCCAAGGGGAAUUUACAUUAGACGUGAAGUUGUUAUUAUUUACUGAAAAGUGGCGUUAUCUUCUUUUCUUUAUUAUUAUGAUUCUAUUCCUAUGAUACUAUGAUGUUUCAUGUAAAUUUUCAUGUGCUGGCAUGCCUACAAGUUAAUAGUGUAAUAGAAUGCUCAGCUCUCAACAUUAGAGUGUUUUUAAGGUGAAUUGCAUCACAUAUGCCAUCUCUUUGCAGAAAGAAUAUGGGGUUUGGCAAAACUACCUGCUGAGCAACAUAAUGAGAUUUUUGUACAAAGUACAAGUUAUUGAUUAUUAUUGUAUUUUAUUUUUCUAUGAUUUCCUAAGAGGCAUUAUCAGGUCUUACAGAUGGGGUAAGCCUGUUUAUUAAGAUAUUUAUUAGCAAAUAAAAGUUACAGUACUGGUGG